GAUGAACGCUGGCGGCGUGCCUAACACAUGCAAGUCGAACGGAGCUGCUUUGAUGAAGUUUUCGGAUGGAUUUAAAACAGCUUAGUGGCGGACGGGUGAGUAACGACUGGGUAACCUGGCUCACACUGGGGGAUAACAGUUAGAAAUAGCUGCUAAUACCGCAUAAGCGCACAGUUCAGCAUGGAAAAGUGUGAAAAACUCCGGUGGUGUGAGAUGGACCCGCGUCUGAUUAGCCAGUUGGCGGGGUAACGGCCCACCAAAGCGACGAGCAGUAGCCGGCCUGAGAGGGUGAACGGCCACAUUGGGACUGAGACACGGCCCAAACUCCUACGGGAGGCAGCAGUGGGGAAUAUUGCACAAUGGGGGAAACCCUGAUGCAGCGACGCCGCGUGAGUGAAGAAGUAUUUCGGUAUGUAAAGCUCUAUCAGCAGGGAAGAAAGUGACGGUACCUGAAUAAGAAGCCCCGGCUAACUACGUGCCAGCCGCCGCGGUAA
Molecule: ribosomal RNA, 494 nt
Filed under: uncultured bacterium
Lineage: Bacteria
Description: partial 16S ribosomal RNA
Rfam family: Bacterial small subunit ribosomal RNA
Source: RNAcentral